This is a non-coding RNA of Acanthosepion pharaonis, 100 nucleotides long. Lineage: Eukaryota; Metazoa; Mollusca; Cephalopoda; Sepiida; Sepiidae. The record is from the annotation of a GenBank genome assembly.
UAUUGAAACAUCGGUUCCCGUACGAUCACCGAGGUUAAGCAACGUUGCGCCUGGUCAGUACCAAUACGGGAGGCCGCUUGAGAAUACCAGGAGCUGUAAG